Podarcis lilfordi (Lilford's wall lizard) is the source of this 68-nucleotide non-coding RNA. The record is from the annotation of a GenBank genome assembly. Lineage: Eukaryota; Metazoa; Chordata; Lepidosauria; Squamata; Lacertidae.
GCGAUCGCUUAGUCGGUAGAGCAUGAGACUCUUAAACUCAGUCGUGGGUUUGAGCCCCCUGUUGGGCA